GAAAUGCGAUAAGUAGUGUGAAUUGCAGAAUUUAGCGAAUCAUCGAAUCUUUGAACGCACAUUGCGCCCCUUGGUAUUCCAUGGGGCAUGCCUGUUCGAGCGUCAUUUCAACCCUCAAGCACUGCUUGGUGUUGGGCGUUUGUCCCGCCUACGCGCGUGGACUCGCCUCAAAGUCAUUGGCAGCUGUUCCCCUUCGGCUCGUAAGCGCAGCACAGUCGGCGCCCGGAGCUCUGGUGGGAUGGCGUCCAGCAAGCUAUAUUUUCAGGCUUGACCUCGGAUCAGGUAGAGAUACGCGCAGAAGAUAAGC
This 307-nucleotide unclassified non-coding RNA is filed under the name plant metagenome. Its description in RNAcentral is "partial contains 5.8S ribosomal RNA, internal transcribed spacer 2, and large subunit ribosomal RNA". The stretch from base 1 to 105 matches the Rfam family "5.8S ribosomal RNA", at positions 50 to 154 of the family's 154-position model. The record is from RNAcentral.